RNAcentral lists this ribosomal RNA (492 nucleotides) under uncultured bacterium. Its description in RNAcentral is "partial 16S ribosomal RNA". It matches the Rfam family "Bacterial small subunit ribosomal RNA", at positions 29 to 507 of the family's 1533-position model. The record is from RNAcentral.
AGUGAACGCUGGCGGUAGGCCUAACACAUGCAAGUCGAACGGCAGCACAGUAAGAGCUUGCUCUUACGGGUGGCGAGUGGCGGACGGGUGAGGAAUACAUCGGAAUCUACUUUUUCGUGGGGGAUAACGUAGGGAAACUUACGCUAAUACCGCAUACGACCUACGGGUGAAAGCAGGGGAUCUUCGGACCUUGCGCGAUUGAAUGAGCCGAUGUCGGAUUAGCUAGUUGGCGGGGUAAAGGCCCACCAAGGCGACGAUCCGUAGCUGGUCUGAGAGGAUGAUCAGCCACACUGGAACUGAGACACGGUCCAGACUCCUACGGGAGGCAGCAGUGGGGAAUAUUGGACAAAGGGCGCAAGCCUGAUCUAGCCAUACCGCGUGGGUGAAGAAGGCCUUCGGGUUGUAAAGCCCUUUUGUUGGGAAAGAAAAGCAGCAGGUUAAUACCCCGCUGUUCUGACGGUACCCAAAGAAUAAGCACCGGCUAACUUCGUG